RNAcentral lists this ribosomal RNA (3170 nucleotides) under Ramlibacter cellulosilyticus. RNAcentral describes it as "23S ribosomal RNA". It matches the Rfam family "Bacterial large subunit ribosomal RNA". The record is from RNAcentral. Lineage: Bacteria; Pseudomonadati; Pseudomonadota; Betaproteobacteria; Burkholderiales; Comamonadaceae.
GUGGGCAAGUGUGUAAGGGCGCAUGGUGGAUGCCUUGGCAUCAGGAGCCGAUGAAGGACGUGGGAGCCUGCGUUAAGCCUCGGGGAGUUGGCAACCGAACGUUGAUCCGAGGGUGUCCGAAUGGGGGAACCCGGCCGUCGUCAUGGGCGGUCACCCGCACCUGAAUGUAUAGGGUGUGUGGAGGGAACGUGGGGAAGUGAAACAUCUCAGUACCCACAGGAAGAGAAAACAACAUGUGAUUCCGUGAGUAGUGGCGAGCGAAAGCGGAUGAGGCUAAACCUGCAUCGUGUGAUACCUGGUAGGGGUUGCGGUGUGGGGGUUGUGGGAGUGUUCUGGAGCCGGCUACCACCGGUUCGGGGAGUGAGAAAGUCGUGGUGUAGCCGAAGGGCCUGGGAUGGUCCGGCGUAGUGGGUGAGACCCCCGUAGGUGAAACAUUGCGGCCUCCUUGGGAGCAUGUCCCGAGUAGCACGGGGCUCGUGGAAUCUCGUGUGAAUCUGCCAGGACCACCUGGUAAGCCUAAAUACUUCCUGAUGACCGAUAGCGGACAAGUACCGUGAGGGAAUGGUGAAAAGCACCCCGGGAGGGGAGUGAAAUAGUACCUGAAACCGUGUGCCUACAAUCCGUCGGAGCUGGAGUUUACUCUGGUGACGGCGUGCCUUUUGAAGAAUGAGCCUGCGAGUUAGUGGUGCGUGGCGAGGUUAACCCGUGGGGGGUAGCCGUAGCGAAAGCGAGUCCGAAUAGGGCGUUUGUAGUCGCGUGCUCUAGACCCGAAGCGGAGUGAUCUACCCAUGGCCAGGUUGAAGCGUGGGUAAGACCGCGUGGAGGACCGAACCCACCAGGGUUGAAAACCUGGGGGAUGAGCUGUGGGUAGGGGUGAAAGGCCAAUCAAACUCCGUGAUAGCUGGUUCUCCCCGAAAUGCAUUUAGGUGCAGCGUCGCGUGUUUCUUGCUGGAGGUAGAGCUACUGGAUGGCCGAUGGGCCCCACCGGGUUACUGACGUCAGCCAAACUCCGAAUGCCGGUAAGUGAGAGCGUGGCAGUGAGACUGCGGGGGAUAAGCUUCGUAGUCGAGAGGGAAACAGCCCAGAUCAUCAGCUAAGGCCCCUAAGCGUGUGCUAAGUGGGAAAGGAUGUGGAGUUGCGCAGACAACCAGGAGGUUGGCUUAGAAGCAGCCACCCUUGAAAGAGUGCGUAAUAGCUCACUGGUCAAGUGAUUCCGCGCCGACAAUGUAGCGGGGCUCAAGUACACCGCCGAAGCUGUGGCACUCACAUAUUAACCCCAUCAACUACCCGCUGUUCUUCGGAGCGGUGGGCACCGUUGGUGCAGGUGUGUGGGUGGGUAGGGGAGCGUCGUGUGUGGGGUGAAGCCGCCUGGUGAUGGUGUGGUGGACUGCACGCGAGUGAGAAUGCAGGCAUGAGUAGCGAAUGACGGGUGAGAACCCCGUCCGCCGAUUGACCAAGGGUUCCAGGGCCAGGUUCAUCCGCCCUGGGUAAGUCGGGACCUAAGGCGAGGCCGACAGGCGUAGUCGAUGGACAACGGGUUGAUAUUCCCGUACCGGUGUAGAACCGUCCAUGGCGAGGCCGGGGAUGCUGAGCACCCAAAGCCGCAUGAGCCUUCGGGUUUGUGUUGGUGGAGCGUGUGACCCGAUCCGGUAGUAGUCAAGCGUGUUAACAGGGGUGACGCAGGAGGGUAGCUUCCGCGUGGCGAUGGUUGUCCACGUCCAAGGGUGUAGGACGAGGGGUUGGCAAAUCCGCUCCUCUUGCUUUGAUGCUGAGUCUGAGACCUGAUGGUGACCCCGUAGGGGGGAAGUAGGGUGAUCCCAUGCUGCCUAGAAAAGCCUCGGCGCGAGGUUCGAGCCGCCCGUACCCUAAACCGACUCAGGUGGUCAGGUAGAGAAUACCGAGGCGUGCGAGUGAAUCGUGGUUAAGGAACUCGGCAAAAUGCCCCCGUAACUUCGGGAGAAGGGGGGCCUGAGGCGUGAAGCUCCUUGCGGGCUAGCGUUUGAGGGCCGCAGAGACCAGGGGGAAGCGACUGUUUACUAAAAACACAGGUCCGUGCGAAGUCGCAAGACGAUGUAUACGGACUGACGCCUGCCCGGUGCUGGAACGUUAAGGGGACCGGUUACCCGCGCUUGUCGUGGGGACGCUGAGAACUUAAGCGCCAGUAAACGGCGGUGGUAACUAUAACCAUCCUAAGGUAGCGAAAUUCCUUGUCGGGUAAGUUCCGACCUGCACGAAUGGCGUAACGACUUCCCUGCUGUCUCAACCGCGAACUCGGCGAAAUUGCACUACGAGUAAAGAUGCUCGUUACGCGCAGCAGGACGGAAAGACCCCGGGACCUUCACUAUAGCUUGGUAUUGGUGUUCGGGACGGCUUGUGUAGGAUAGGUGGGAGACUGUGAAGCUGGCACGCUAGUGUUGGUGGAGUCGUCGUUGAAAUACCACUCUGGUCGUUCUGGAUGUCUAACUUCGGUCCGUGAUCCGGAUCAGGGACAGUGCCUGGUGGGUAGUUUAACUGGGGCGGUUGCCUCCUAAAGAGUAACGGAGGCGCCCAAAGGUUCCCUCAGCCUGGUUGGCAAUCAGGUGUUGAGUGUAAGUGCACAAGGGAGCUUGACUGUGAGACCGACAGGUCGAGCAGGGACGAAAGUCGGGACUAGUGAUCCGGCCGUGGAGUGUGGAAUCGCGGUCGCUCAACGGAUAAAAGGUACCCCGGGGAUAACAGGCUGAUCUUGCCCAAGAGUCCAUAUCGACGGCAUGGUUUGGCACCUCGAUGUCGGCUCGUCGCAUCCUGGGGCUGGAGUAGGUCCCAAGGGUUGGGCUGUUCGCCCAUUAAAGCGGUACGCGAGCUGGGUUUAGAACGUCGUGAGACAGUUCGGUCCCUAUCCGCUGCGCGCGUUGGAAACUUGAGAAGGGCUGUCCCUAGUACGAGAGGACCGGGACGGACGAACCUCUGGUGUGCCAGUUGUUCUGCCAAGGGCAUGGCUGGUUGGCUACGUUCGGAAGGGAUAACCGCUGAAGGCAUCUAAGCGGGAAGCCUGCUUCGAGAUGAGGUUUCCGUGCCCCUUGUGGGGUGGGAGGCUCCCUGGAGAUGACGGGGUUGAUAGGCCGGGUGUGGAAGCAACGACGAGAGAGUUGUGGAGCUGACCGGUACUAAUAGGCCGAUCACUUGUCUAC